This 460-nucleotide ribosomal RNA is filed under the name uncultured bacterium. Its description in RNAcentral is "partial 16S ribosomal RNA". It matches the Rfam family "Bacterial small subunit ribosomal RNA", at positions 338 to 795 of the family's 1533-position model. The record is from RNAcentral.
CCUACGGGAGGCAGCAGUGAGGAAUAUUGGUCAAUGGGCGUAAGCCUGAACCAGCCAAGUCGCGUGAGGGAUGAAGGUUCUAUGGAUCGUAAACCUCUUUAGGCGGGGAGCAAUGCCUGGCACGCGUGCCCGGAGGGAGAGUACCCGCAGAAUAAGCAUCGGCUAACUCCGUGCCAGCAGCCGCGGUAAUACGGAGGAUGCGAUCGUUAUCCGGAUUUAUUGGGUUUAAAGGGUGCGUGGGCGGAUUUUUAAGUCAGCGGUAAAAUGUCCGGGCUCAACCCGGGCCGGCCGUUGAAACUGGGGAUCUUGAGUGUGCGAGAGGCAUGCGGAAUGCGUGGUGUAGCGGUGAAAUGCAUAGAUAUCACGCAGAACCCCGAUUGCGAAGGCAGCAUACCGGCGCCCGACUGACGCUGAGGCACGAAAGCGUGGGGAUCGAACAGGAUUAGAUACCCUUGUAGUC